Molecule: ribosomal RNA, 468 nt
Filed under: uncultured bacterium
Lineage: Bacteria
Description: partial 16S ribosomal RNA
Rfam family: Bacterial small subunit ribosomal RNA
Source: RNAcentral
GACGAACGCUGGCGGCGUGCUUAACACAUGCAAGUCGAACGGAAAGGCCCUGCUUUUGUGGGGUGCUCGAGUGGCGAACGGGUGAGUAACACGUGAGUAACCUGCCCUUGACUUUGGUAUAACUUCAGGAAACUGGGGCUAAUACCGGAUAGGAGCUCCUGCUGCAUGGUGGGGGUUGGAAAGUUUCGGCGGUUGGGGAUGGACUCGCGGCUUAUCAGCUUGUUGGUGGGGUAGUGGCUUACCAAGGCUUUGACGGGUAGCCGGCCUGAGAGGGUGACCGGCCACAUUGGGACUGAGAUACGGCACAGACUCCUACGGGAGGCAGCAGUGGGGAAUAUUGCACAAUGGGCGGAAGCCUGAUGCAGCAACGCCGCGUGCGGGAUGACGGCCUUCGGGUUGUAAACCGCUUUCGCCUGUGACGAAGCGUGAGUGACGGUAAUGGGUAAAGAAGCACCGGCUAACUACGUG